This 253-nucleotide ribosomal RNA is filed under the name uncultured bacterium. RNAcentral's name for it is "partial 16S ribosomal RNA". It matches the Rfam family "Bacterial small subunit ribosomal RNA", at positions 524 to 776 of the family's 1533-position model. The record is from RNAcentral.
UACGUAGGGUGCAAGCGUUAAUCGGAAUUACUGGGCGUAAAGCGUGCGUAGGCGGUUGUGCAAGUCAGAUGUGAAAUCCCCGGGCUCAACCUGGGAAUUGCAUUUGUGACUGCACGGCUAGAGUGUGUCAGAGGGGGGUAGAAUUCCACGUGUAGCAGUGAAAUGCGUAGAGAUGUGGAGGAAUACCGAUGGCGAAGGCAGCCCCCUGGGAUAACACUGACGCUCAUGCACGAAAGCGUGGGGAGCAAACAGG